AUGUGGACCUUAUCCACAUCGCCGUUCCUCUUUAGCAGUAAUGCUUCUCCUUCCUUCUCUAUCGAUCCAUCAACGGCUCUGCUCUCCUUCCCCUCUCUCUUCGUGCUGCAUCCACACACACACACACGGCGCUGCUUUCCCCCCUCUCUCUUCUUCCUCCACAAGGAACCAAGCAUCACUCUCUGCUUGACCGUGGCGCCAGAAUCGAGCACGGAUGCGCGCGGCUGUCUCGCCCGUGACCGGGGCUGCUUCGCGUUCGUCGGUAGGUUGCGGCACUGUUGCUGCCCGUAUGGGCUCCCAGUGGCCGGGCGUGCACGUGCCGGGGCUGGCUGGGCUCCCAGGAGCCGGGCUCCCCGCCUCCUCCAACAUCGGCUGGAGAGGAGCUCCUCUGUGCUUCCUAGCCGCCUCCUCCAGCAGGCCAGCCAGAGCAACCGCCCCUCUCUUUCAGAUUUUCUCUUUUCUUCUGUAAUCUGCCUUCUUCUUCUUCUUCUUCUUCUUCUUCUUCUUCUUCUUCUCUAA
RNAcentral lists this ribosomal RNA (519 nucleotides) under Triticum aestivum (bread wheat). RNAcentral's name for it is "partial small subunit ribosomal RNA". Lineage: Eukaryota; Viridiplantae; Streptophyta; Magnoliopsida; Poales; Poaceae. The record is from RNAcentral.